AGCUACAUGAUGGAAGAUCAGGACUCAUGGAAAGAUGACAUGCAGGUGUUCCAGUCAACAGCACCACGAAAGAUCUCAGCCAACAGCCAGUAUUAACCAUCAGACAUAAAAUGAAAAGGCAAGGCACUAAAUGGAAGAAAGUAUUGGCAAAAUAUAUAUCUGCAAAGACCGUGCAUUGAGAUUAUAAAAAGAACUUUUAUAAUUGAAUUAUAAGAAGAUAAAUACUCCCCUUCCCACUGGGCCAAAGACUGGGACGCCUCACAAAAGAAGAUUGGCAAAUGGUCAAUAAGCACAUGAAAAGGGGCUGGCCCGGUGUCACAGCAGUUAAGUUCGUGCGUUCCACUUCUCCGUGGCCCGGGGUUCGCCGGUUCAGAUUGCAGGUGCGGACAUGGCACCGCUUGGCCAAAAAGCCAUGCUGUGGUAGGUGUCCCAUGUAUAAAGUAGAGAAAGAUGGGCAUGGAUGUUAGCUC
RNAcentral lists this long non-coding RNA (470 nucleotides) under Equus caballus (horse). RNAcentral's name for it is "lncRNA (ENSECAG00000049570.1)". The record is from RNAcentral. Lineage: Eukaryota; Metazoa; Chordata; Mammalia; Perissodactyla; Equidae.